This 390-nucleotide long non-coding RNA is filed under the name Chinchilla lanigera (long-tailed chinchilla). RNAcentral's name for it is "lncRNA (ENSCLAG00000028314.1)". The record is from RNAcentral. Lineage: Eukaryota; Metazoa; Chordata; Mammalia; Rodentia; Chinchillidae.
UAGCAGUCAACUGUAGCAAGCUCACUUGUCUGGAGACCUCAGACAUAACAGGAUGUUCUUGUCUUGUCUCCUGACUUCCCAAGACUCAGGAUGAAAAUGCAUCAGUCCAGAGCCUGGAAAUGCGCGGCUGUUUGGAAAUCCUCUUCGAGGAUGCACGCAAGAGCAUGGUGAAUGACCUAGUGCCUUCUGUGCUUCGUGGAGAGACCUGGUUCCUCCACAGAUUUUUCCAAAGCUACCGAUCAGUGGGCACCACACAGCAGGUGCUGGAGCUGCUGUUGAAAAGGUGUGACACCCUCAUGAACUCCUGCCAACAGGGCCGCAUCCUCGCCUGCCUUGGCAGAGGUGGUGAACGUCAAGGCCGACUCAGAGAGUGAGUGGGCUUUGGUGUGA